GAAGUAUUCUGCUCUUUGGGUUACAAAGAGCCUAAUGGAAUGUGUCAUAAAGCCUAAAGAGCGCAGAACAUUCCAGAUUCUCACUGUUAACAAGAACACACAGGCUACUGUCACUGUUCUAGGGAAUCUGUUCUACCAUAAAUUAGAAGAUAGUAGCUAUUUAGUGGAUUUUACUAACUGAAAAGAAUUGAGGUGUUCUAGCUGAAAACCUGAGGUUUACAGAUACUGAUGAACCUGUCUCAGGUUGUACAUCAAGUAAAUGGAGAAGCUAGAAUUAGAACGCAAGUCUGCAUGACUGCAAAGCCUAUGUAACAGAAGGAAAUGCUGAGAGGGGAUUAUUCCCCAACAGACAGAUCCUCUGGAAAGUGACACAGGCCCACUAUGGAAGGCCUCACAUCUUCUGGAUGGCUUCUUUCCUCAUGAUGGCAAGGAGGUUUCAGAUGAGAAGAGGUGUCCCUGUGGCUUCCUAUUAGAAAUCAGAUAUGAAAAAUCAGGGGACAGAUUCCCAAUCCCUCUUUCAUUUACUUUUCUAGAAGUAAAUUUGCAAUAUAGACAAAAGAAUGAAACAGUAAGGGCUUCAGCUAUUUAAGCAGUGGUAAGCAGUGGGGAUAAAACAAUAAUUUUAGCAUCAACAGAGUUCUUUACUCACGAAGCCUGCAGUUAGUCACGAAUAGAGGUCAUUUCAAUAAAGUAGGAUACAUAUCAGGAACAGAAAUACCAGGACGACUGAGAUAGGCACCAAACCCAGAUCCACACGGCUGGGAAAAGUUCUAACUUUUAACACCUAUGUCUACUCAUCCUCAGAGACUCUAUAUUAAAAAAUAAUAAUAAUGUUUAUUUUUGACAGAGAGAGACAGAGAGACAGAGCAUGAGUGGGGGAGGGGCAGA
Felis catus (domestic cat) is the source of this 888-nucleotide long non-coding RNA. RefSeq lists it as uncharacterized. The record is from RefSeq and is a predicted model, not a curated record. NCBI's taxonomy places the organism in Eukaryota, Metazoa, Chordata, Mammalia, Carnivora, Felidae. The transcript is spliced from 3 exons.